Molecule: ribosomal RNA, 468 nt
Filed under: uncultured bacterium
Lineage: Bacteria
Description: partial 16S ribosomal RNA
Rfam family: Bacterial small subunit ribosomal RNA
Source: RNAcentral
GACGAACGCUGGCGGCGUGCUUAACACAUGCAAGUCGAACGGAAAGGCCCUGCUUUUGUGGGGUGCUCGAGUGGCGAACGGGUGAGUAACACGUGAGUAACCUGCCCUUGACUUUGGGAUAACUUCAGGAAACUGGGGCUAAUACCGGAUAGGAGCUCCUGCUGCAUGGUGGGGGUAGGAAAGUUUCGGCGGUUGGGGAUGGACUCGCGGCUUAUCAGCUUGUUGGUGGGGUAGUGGCUUACCAAGGCUUUGACGGGUAGCCGGCCUGAGAGGGUGACCGGCCACAUUGGGACUGAGAUACGGCCCAGACUCCUACGGGCGGCAGCAGUGGGGAAUAUUGCACAAUGGGCGGAAGCCUGAUGCGGCAACGCCGCGUGCGGGAUGACGGCCUUCGGGUUGUAAACCGCUUUCGCCUGUGACGAAGCGUGAGUGACGGUAAUGGGUAAAGAAGCACCGGCUAACUACGUG